GGCGGACGGGUGAGUAACACGUGGGUAACCUGCCCUUAAGUGGGGGAUAACAUUUGGAAACAGAUGCUAAUACCGCAUAGAUCCAAGAACCGCAUGGUUCUUGGCUGAAAGAUGGCGUAAGCUAUCGCUUUUGGAUGGACCCGCGGCGUAUUAGCUAGUUGGUGAGGUAAUGGCUCACCAAGGCGAUGAUACGUAGCCGAACUGAGAGGUUGAUCGGCCACAUUGGGACUGAGACACGGCCCAAACUCCUACGGGAGGCAGCAGUAGGGAAUCUUCCACAAUGGACGCAAGUCUGAUGGAGCAACGCCGCGUGAGUGAAGAAGGCUUUCGGGUCGUAAAACUCUGUUGUUGGAGAAGAAUGGUCGGCAGAGUAACUGUUGUCGGCGUGACGGUAUCCAACCAGAAAGCCACGGCUAACUACGUGCCAGCAGCCGCGGUAAUACGUAGGUGGCAAGCGUUAUCCGGAUUUAUUGGGCGUAAAGCGAGCGCAGGCGGUUUUUUAAGUCUGAUGUGAAAGCCCUCGGCUUAACCGAGGAAGCGCAUCGGAAACUGGGAAACUUGAGUGCAGAAGAGGACAGUGGAACUCCAUGUGUAGCGGUGAAAUGCGUAGAUAUAUGGAAGAACACCAGUGGCGAAGGCGGCUGUCUGGUCUGUAACUGACGCUGAGGCUCGAAAGCAUGGGUAGCGAACAGGAUUAGAUACCCUGGUAGUCCAUGCCGUAAACGAUGAAUGCUAGGUGUUGGAGGGUUCCGCCCUUCAGUGCCGCAGCUAACGCAUUAAGCAUUCCGCCUGGGGAGUACGACCGCAAGGUUGAAACUCAAAGGAA
RNAcentral lists this ribosomal RNA (826 nucleotides) under Lacticaseibacillus paracasei. Its description in RNAcentral is "bacterial SSU rRNA". It matches the Rfam family "Bacterial small subunit ribosomal RNA", at positions 97 to 909 of the family's 1533-position model. Lineage: Bacteria; Bacillati; Bacillota; Bacilli; Lactobacillales; Lactobacillaceae. The record is from RNAcentral.